Molecule: small RNA, 2448 nt
Filed under: Pan troglodytes (chimpanzee)
Lineage: Eukaryota; Metazoa; Chordata; Mammalia; Primates; Hominidae
Description: retained intron
Source: RNAcentral
AGAGAACAGCUUGAGCCCAGGAGUUCAAGACCAGGCUGGGCAACAUAGCAAGACAAAAAGGAAAAGAACAAAAAGGAAAAAAAAAAGGAGGGCAAAGUUUGAAAGUAUAGGUCAGAUUGGCUUUGUUGCUCUCCUUCUAAUGAAAGCUUUCAGCCCUAGAACAUGUCAGAUAGCUUUUUGGGAAUUGUCUUUUGUAGUGUUUUUUGUUGUCUUUCUGGUUUCUAAAAAUGAGAAUGGUUUUUCUGAUAUCAGAGUAACCCAUAAAGGUGUGAAUAAAGUGAAGAUCAUUCAUAUACUUACCAGUCAGUAGUAACCACUGGGAAAAUUUUCAUGGUAAACAAACCUGCUAUCCAGAAGGUUCUGUAACUUGCCUUUUUGUUUUCAUAUAACAGGGUAUCUUGGACAUUUUUUCAUGUCAGUAAAUAUAGAUAUAUCUCAUUACUUUUAAUGGUUAUAUAUUAUACUGUUAUAUUAAUAUGCUAUAAUUAUAUUGAUGAAUUGUUGGUUCUAAUUUUUGAAUAUUAUAAAUAUGCUGCUAUUGAUACAGACAGAUUCACAAAGAUACAUUUAUAAUAUAAUUUCUUUUCUUUUCUUUUUUUUUUUUUUUUUGAGACAGAGUCUCACUGUCGCCCAGGCUGGAGUGCAGUGGUGGCGGAUCUCAGCUCACUGCAGCCGCCGCCUCCUGAGUUCAAGCGAUUCUUCUCCCUCAGGCUUCCGAGUAGCUGGGACUACAGGCGUGUGCCACCAUGCCCAGCUAAUUUUGUUGUUGUUGUUGUUGUUGUUGUUGUUUUUGAGACGGAGUCUCGCUCUGUUACCCAGGCUGGAGUCCAGUGGCGCGGUAUCGGCUCACUGCAACUUACGCCUCCCAGGUUCAAACAAUUCUCCUGCCUCAGCCUCCGGAGUAGCUGGGAUUACAGGCGCCUGCCACCAUGCACGGCUAAUUUUUGUAUUUUUAGUAGAGAUGGGAUUUCACCAUGUUGGCCAGGCUGGUCUUGAACUCCUGACCUCAAGUGAUCCGCCUGCCUCAGCCUCCCAAAGUGCUGGGAUUACAGGCGUGAGCCACUGCACCUGGCCGUAUUUUUAGUAGAGAUGGGGUUUUACCAUGUUGGCCAGUCUGGUCUUGAACUCCUGACCUCAAGUGAUCCACCCGCCUCAGCCUCCCAAAGUGCUGGCAUUACAGGCGUGAGCCACCACACCUGGCCUAUAAUAUAGUUUCUUUAGGAUAGCUCUUAGAUCUGAAAUUAACUGUAUAUAUACAUUUAUACAGUUAAUAAAUGUAUAUGCAUAUAUACAUUUGUACUCAUCCCCAACAGUGUUGAGUAUGUAUCUUUAACCAUCUGGUAGGUGAAUAUUGGUAUCUCCUUUUUCUAAUACUGAUUUUUAAAAUUUUAUUGAUAUUGAACUGUCCAAGAAUACUUCUUGAGUGAAAAGCUAGCUUUAUUAAUUGAUUGGCUAGGUUUUUUAGUUGUAUCACAUGUUUCUUGGAUUUCUUUGAUAUAUCUUCUAUUCUUUGUCCAAGUUUCUUAUUGUGGUAGUAAUAUUUUUCCUAUUUAUAUGUGUUGAGCUACUGGGUUCUUAACAUAAUAAUGUUACUAAUCCCCUGUCAUAGGUGAUGCAGUUUUUUUUUUUCAGUUUGUUAUUUGUCUUUUAAGUUGAGUGAUUUUUUUUUUUGUCAAUGUAGUAAUAUUUUUAAAAACAAGGAUAAUCUUUAAUGGUUUUUAGCUUUGUGUGGUGUUUAGAAAGGGUUUUUCAGCUGUCAGUGUCAUGAUUGCAGAAGUUGUUACCUAAUUUUCUUCCAGUGCUUUGAUGGAUUUUUUUUUAUUUAAGUAUUUAUCUGAAAUUUAUUUUAAUAUUACUGUGUUAUUUUGUAUCUCCAAAUGUCUAGCUGGUUAUUUUAGUACCAUUCAUUCACUUGAAACCACUGGUUUGAAAUGCCACUAUUUAAAUUCCCUCACAUCUUUCAGUAGCUUUUGUGAUGUAGAUAUGGGUAAUAUGUUUGAUAAUGUUUCAACUCUUUUUUAAUCUUUUUCCCAGCCACCUGUCUUUACCAGUUUCCAAGACUAUGUUACUGGGCUUCAGACUUUAAUUUCCAAUGUUGUGGAUCAUAUUAAAGGGCUUGAAACACAUCUAAUUGCACUUAAACUUGAAGAACUUAUUUUAGAAGACACUUCUCUCUCACCGGAAGAGAGAAAAUUUUCAAAGACUGUGCAAGGGAAGGUGCAGAGCAGUUAUCUGCACUCACUUCUGGAAAUGGGGGAGCUGCUGAAAAAAAGACUUGAGACCACAAAGAAACUAAAAAUUUAAGGAAGUAUCUAUCACGGGCACUGAUGACUCUGCAACAGAAUAUGACACCAUCUUCCCAGGCAAAAGCAACAUCUGGUUGACCAUGAUUUUAAUCCAGAACUUCCUCAUAAAAUGCAUGAAGGACUUUGAUCGUGAAUUUUUUUA